GAUGAACGCUUACAGAAUGCUUAACACACGCAAGUAGACUCGAGUCCUCGGCCUUGGGUGGCGCACGGGUGAGCAAACGCGUAAAGAACUUGCCUCUUAGACCGGGACAACAUCUGGAAACGGAUGAUAAUACCGGAUAUUAUGGUUUUUUCGCAUGGAGGAAUCAUGAAAAGCUAGAUGCGCUAAGAGAGAGCUUUGCGUCCCAUUAGCUGGUUGGUGAGGUAACGGCCCACCAAGGCAAUGAUGGGUAGCCGGCCUGAGAGGGUGAACGGCCACAAGGGGACUGAGACACGGCCCUUACUCCUACGGGAGGCAGCAGUGGGGAAUAUUGGACAAUGGACCGCAAGUCUGAUCCAGCAAUUCUGUGUGCACGAUGACGUUUUUCGGAAUGUAAAGUGCUUUCAGUCGGGAAGAAGUCAGUGACGGUACCGACAGAAGAAGCGACGGCUAAAUACGUGCCAGCAGCCGCGGUAAUACGUAUGUCGCAAGCGUUAUCCGGAUUUAUUGGGCGUAAAGCGCGUCUAGGCGGCAAGGAAAGUCUGAUGUGAAAAUGCGGAGCUCAACUCCGUAUGGCGUUGGAAACUGCCUUACUAGAGUACUGGAGAGGUAGGCGGAACUACAAGUGUAGAGGUGAAAUUCGUAAAUAUUUGUAGGAAUGCCGAUGGGGAAGCCAGCCUACUGGACAGAUACUGACGCUAAAGCGCGAAAGCGUGGGUAGCAAACAGG
RNAcentral lists this ribosomal RNA (726 nucleotides) under uncultured Fusobacterium sp. Its description in RNAcentral is "bacterial SSU rRNA". It matches the Rfam family "Bacterial small subunit ribosomal RNA", at positions 28 to 776 of the family's 1533-position model. Lineage: Bacteria; Fusobacteriati; Fusobacteriota; Fusobacteriia; Fusobacteriales; Fusobacteriaceae. The record is from RNAcentral.